GCACUUACCUGGACGAGGUCAAUUGACGAUCAUUAAGGUCAAUGGCCUAGGGUGGUGACCUCCAUUGCACUUUGGAGGGGCGCCCCCCUAUGGUCGGCCCAAGUGGUCGAGCCAACGUCAUAAUUUGUGAUAGUGGGGGCCUGCGUUCGCGCGGCCCCUCC
Molecule: small nuclear RNA, 161 nt
Filed under: Erythranthe guttata (spotted monkey flower)
Lineage: Eukaryota; Viridiplantae; Streptophyta; Magnoliopsida; Lamiales; Phrymaceae
Description: Mimulus guttatus (spotted monkey flower) U1 spliceosomal RNA
Rfam family: U1 spliceosomal RNA
About the family: U1 is a small nuclear RNA (snRNA) component of the spliceosome (involved in pre-mRNA splicing).
Source: Rfam by way of RNAcentral